CAUAGGUAACAACUCAGAGGAGUACAAUGUCUUUCCAAAUGAAUUAGUGGAAUGGUAAAGGGAUAAUGUCUCAGUCUUGACUGAGCAGCAGCCUAAACAGCAGCAGGGCUUACCUGUAAAGUACACAGUAGGGGAAAUGUUCUGAGGCUGGUACUCCAGAGACUCUUGAGGACAGAGGUUCUUACUAACUUUCUUGGAACCCUGGUUGGUGGGAAAAGGCACAUUAAAACAAACUGAAAAUUGUUCGAUAUCUUAAAGUACAGCUUAUCAAUUGCAAAGAAGCAGUGCAAUGCCAUGACACAAAUAAUCAUAUAUCUCACAAAAGGUCAACAGCAGUGUUAUUCAUGAAAGAUGUAUGUGUACUAUACCUUUGUGUUAAAGGUGAGGACCUGCUCUCCAGUACUGCUGAUGGUAUCCCUUUCCAAAUCAAACACGCCUUCUACAAUGUCACUGGUGGCCACGCUGGUAGCGGACUCAAAAUAACAUUUAGCAGUGGCUUUGGUGAUCAUUUGAAGAAUGACCAUGCAAGUAGAAGUCUUUGGAUCGUUCUGGACUGAAACAUCAAAGUUUAUGUUUUCAUACUCAUCUGACCACUGUCUCAGGAAGCCCUUCACUGUCUCUUCAGCAAAUAUCUGGAGAAGCUGAGAGGAGAGCUCCUUGGAUAUGGCACAUUGUUCCUUUCCCCAUUUCAGCCUUGAAAGAAUGGAGUCUGAAGCACUUUUGGCUGCUUCCAAUGUUAAGACCUGUGGAGUGCUGUGGCUGUCCUGAAGGGCUAUCACUUUAUCCACCAAUUCAUGACUGAAAAUGUGGAUGGUCCAAGUGGAAAUGAUUUUUCUCAAUUUCCUAACAGCAGAUCGGAGGUCGUCAAGAUGAGAAGCACCCUGUCCAUCUUCCUGUGUGUUCUCAACACUUUCCACCAUAAUGUCCACUACCACCCCAGCAGCUUGCCUGACUUUGUCCACAAAGGUUACAGGAAGUAAGUCCUCUGUGUGAAAGAAGUCCUCAAUGAUUGUGUUUCUAACAAUGGGAAAGUCCAUCUGAGCAGGAAACUCAGUGGGGAUGGGAGUCCCGGGUAAGGCAAAGUGCCAUUUCGACUGCCUUAAUUUUGAAGUAGGUGUUAGAGAGAUGGAGGAGUGUGAAGAAGAGGUAUUUCUUGUAUUUUGGCUGUCAGCACUCCUACAACGGAUCGUGCCAAUAUCCUCCAGCAUGGAUCCUGAGAGCUCAGUGGUUUUAGAUAGUAAUUUGUGCGGAAUGUCCACACAGGCAUCGUUUCCACCAGGUGUAACACUGCUCUGGUUGACCUCAAGAUGGCCGAGACUUGCUCUUUGUGAUGCAGGACUGCUUUGAUAUGUAAAGAUUUGGAUUGAACCAAGUGUUGUGUCUGAUCUCUGAAGAUCUUUUCUGAGAAACUCCGUAAUCUUACUUUGCAGACUGUAGUAGAUGUUACGAGCAACAGACCAGAUCCUUUUCUCAGAAACCUGUCCAGUGGUGAGCAGGGAGGUUCCAGAUACCAUGUCAGAUGAUUGGGUGGUCUGGGUUGCGCCGAGCUCUGCAAGUCUUCCACAAAUGUUUCAAUGAUGCCAAAGGCAGCAGAAUCCGCACAAAUAUCCUUUGACCAUGUGUACUGGUUUUGAAUGGAACAAGACCUGGAUGCUACAGAAUAAGCAGGCUGUGCACUAGUUAAGCUACUGGUGGACUUUUUAACUAGGAACUCACUCACUGCUUGAGUGGCAUUUCUCUUAAAUUCCUCACUUGAGAGUUUUCUAAUACAAUCUAACAGACUGGUCAAAGAAGCUGUGGCCUUACUUCUGCUGUCCUCAUUUUGACAGGAGAACUCACAUACUAUUGGUGAUGAGGACCUGGAAUGGGAGAUAUCCCCAAGCUGAGCCAGAACACCCUCUACAAAUUUCUCUCUCUCAAUAGAGAAGCCUGAUCCUUUUUCUCCAACAGUGUACAGGGGUCCUCCUUUGACAUCUCAGUGUUGUACAAGACCAGAAGCUCUGAGAUGACUUCUUUGGUGCAAGUUGUCAGAAGGAGCUUGCUUUCUUCUGACUCAGUUUGUGCCCAAAGAAGUUUUGAGCUCUCACUUAGGCCUCUUUGUAAAGUAACUGCACCAGUGGACUCUGGCAACUGAGGCUCACUCUUACUGGGCCUAUAUUUCAUGUUUAAGCAAGGAAGUGGAACUGUCUCCUUAAACUCAGCAUUUGUGAUGUUAUCAUCAGAUGUGACAAUGCUCUUUAAGGCACAUCGCUGAAGCUUGCCGAAAUAAUCUUUCAAGUUGUUUUGGAUGCUGUGGUAAAUGUGAACAGCAGCAGACCAGGCACUCUUCUGUUGGGGACUCUCUUCAGAUUCAGCCAAGGACUUCAUAUCUGACACGAAAGUCUUAACAACUACUGACGCUGCUGAGCCCACUGGGUGAAUUGACUCUGUCUUUACAAUGCCAGACAAUGUUUGACCUGAUACAGCACCUGUUAACUCAGACUGAACGACUGAACUAGGAAAGCUCAAACUACUGACUUUUUUGGCAAGAACUCCACUCACUGCUUGUAUUGCUGAUGUUUGAAACUCCCGGCUGGAGAGUUUUUGGAUGCUCUUAGACGUGAGCGUGCAGGAGGAACCAGAUUCACUAAUAUUGUAGCUGC
Oncorhynchus tshawytscha (Chinook salmon) is the source of this 2642-nucleotide long non-coding RNA. Lineage: Eukaryota; Metazoa; Chordata; Actinopteri; Salmoniformes; Salmonidae. The record is from Ensembl.